RNAcentral lists this ribosomal RNA (468 nucleotides) under uncultured bacterium. RNAcentral's name for it is "partial 16S ribosomal RNA". It matches the Rfam family "Bacterial small subunit ribosomal RNA", at positions 28 to 507 of the family's 1533-position model. The record is from RNAcentral.
GACGAACGCUGGCGGCGUGCUUAACACAUGCAAGUCGAACGGAAAGGCCCUGCUUUUGUGGGGUGCUCGAUUGGCGAACGGGUGAGUAACACGUGAGUAACCUGCCCUUGACUUUGGGAUAACUUCAGGAAACUGGGGCUAAUACCGGAUAGGAGCUCCUGCUGCAUGGUGGGGGUUGGAAAGUUUCGGCGGUUGGGGAUGGACUCGCGGCUUAUCAGCUUGUUGGUGGGGUAGUGGCUUACCAAGGCUUUGACGGGUAGCCGGCCUUAGAGGGUGACCGGCCACAUUGGGACUGAGAGACGGACCAGAAUCCUACGGGAGGCAGCAGUGGGGAAUAUUGCACAAUGGGCGGAAGCCUGAUGCAGAAACGCCGCGUGCGGGAUGACGGCCUUCGGGUUGUAAACCGCUUUCGCCUGUGACGAAGCGUGAGUGACGGUAAUGGGUAAAGAAGCACCGGCUAACUACGUG